AAUGAACGUUGGCGGCGUGGAUUAGGCAUGCAAGUCGUACGCACAGCUUCGGCUGUGAGUGGCGCAAGGGUGAGUAAUGCGAAGGUAACCAACCCUGGAGUUGGGCAUAACCGCGGGAAACUGCGGGUAAUUCCCAGCGAUGUCGCGAGAUGGCAUCAUCUUGCGACCAAAGGUGUGAUUCCGCUCUAGGACGGGCCUUCGUGGUAUUAGGUAGUUGGUGAGGUAACGGCUCACCAAGCCGACGAUGCCUACCGGGUGUGAGAGCAUGACCCGGCACACUGGAACUGAGACACUGUCCAGACACCUACGGGUGGCUGCAGUCGAGAAUCUUCGGCAAUGGGCGAAAGCCUGACCGAGCGACGCCGCGUGAGGGAAGAAGGCCUUCGGGUUGUAAACCUCUUUCGUAGAGGAGGAAGGGGCCGUGCAGAGCGGUCUUUGACCUAUUCUAGGAAGAAGCUUGGGCUAAGUUCGUGCCAGCAGCCGCGGUAAGACGAACCAAGCGAACGUUAUUCGGAAUUACUGGGC
This 525-nucleotide ribosomal RNA is filed under the name uncultured bacterium. Its description in RNAcentral is "bacterial SSU rRNA". It matches the Rfam family "Bacterial small subunit ribosomal RNA", at positions 28 to 559 of the family's 1533-position model. The record is from RNAcentral.